Molecule: ribosomal RNA, 484 nt
Filed under: uncultured bacterium
Lineage: Bacteria
Description: partial 16S ribosomal RNA
Rfam family: Bacterial small subunit ribosomal RNA
Source: RNAcentral
AUUGGACGCUGGCGGCAGGCCUAACACAUGCAAGUCGAGCGGAUGAAGGGAGCUUGCUCCUGGAUUCAGCGGCGGACGGGUGAGUAAUGCCUAGGAAUCUGCCUGGUAGUGGGGGAUAACGUCCGGAAACGGGCGCUAAUACCGCAUACGUCCUGAGGGAGAAAGUGGGGGCUCUUCGGACCUCACGCUAUCAGAUGAGCCUAGGUCGGAUUAGCUAGUUGGUGGGGUAAAGGCCUACCAAGGCGACGAUCCGUAACUGGUCUGAGAGGAUGAUCAGUCACACUGGAACUGAGACACGGUCCAGACUCCUACGGGAGGCAGCAGUGGGGAAUAUUGGACAAUGGGCGAAAGCCUGAUCCAGCCAUGCCGCGUGUGUGAAGAAGGUCUUCGGAUUGUAAAGCACUUUAAGUUGGGAGGAAGGGCAGUAAGUUAAUACCUUGCUGUUUUGACGUUACCAACAGAAUAAGCACCGGCUAACUUCGUG